Molecule: ribosomal RNA, 200 nt
Filed under: uncultured bacterium
Lineage: Bacteria
Description: partial 16S ribosomal RNA
Rfam family: Bacterial small subunit ribosomal RNA
Source: RNAcentral
UACGUACUGCGCGAACGUUAUUCGGAAUCACUGGGCUUAAAGGGUGCGUAGGCGGCAUUUCAAGUCAGAUGUGAAAUCUUCCGGCUCAACCGGAAAACUGCAUUUGAAACUGAUUUGCUUGAGUAGACUAGGGGUGUGCGGAACUGCCAGUGGAGCGGUGAAAUGUGUUGAGAUUGGCAGGAACGCCGGUGGCGAAAGCG